RNAcentral lists this ribosomal RNA (497 nucleotides) under uncultured Bacteroidota bacterium. RNAcentral describes it as "bacterial SSU rRNA". It matches the Rfam family "Bacterial small subunit ribosomal RNA", at positions 71 to 568 of the family's 1533-position model. Lineage: Bacteria; Pseudomonadati; Bacteroidota. The record is from RNAcentral.
UAGCAAUAUUAAUAAGGCUAGACCGGCGCACGGGUGCGUAACACGUAUGCAACCUACCUUAUACUGGGGAAUAACUUCGAGAAAUCGGCGCUAAUACCCCAUAACAUUGCGAAAUGGCAUCAUUUUGCAAUUAAAGCUCCGGCGGUAUAAGAUGGGCAUGCGUCCAAUUAGCUAGUUGGUGAGGUAACUGCUCACCAAGGCUACGAUUGGUAGGGGUUCUGAGAGGAUGAUCCCCCACACUGGUACUGAGACACGGACCAGACUCCUACGGGAGGCAGCAGUGAGGAAUAUUGCGCAAUGGACGAAAGUCUGACGCAGCCAUGCCGCGUGCAGGAUGACGGCCCUAUGGGUUGUAAACUGCUUUUGUAUGGGAAUAAACCCUUCUACGUGUAGGAGGCUGAAGGUACCAUAAGAAUAAGCACCGGCUAACUCCGUGCCAGCAGCCGCGGUAAUACGGAGGGUGCAAGCGUUAUCCGGAUUUAUUGGGUUUAAAGGGU